Non-coding RNA from Solanum lycopersicum (tomato), 1024 nucleotides. Lineage: Eukaryota; Viridiplantae; Streptophyta; Magnoliopsida; Solanales; Solanaceae. The record is from RefSeq and is a predicted model, not a curated record.
UUCUUUCUUAGUCAUGAAGUAAGGAUGGGGGUGGAUAAAAUAAUUUAGGGUUGGGUUCUAAAUUUUUCAGUUAUUUGAAGAAAGGUCUCUUUAGUGUUCAUGAGCUUCUCCCGGCAACUCAUCGGAACUCUACCGGGAUCUGGCGUGUCCACCACCCAAUUAUCCCCCAUUUCGCCUUCCUUCUCUCUUUCCGUUUCCGGCCAGCAACCAUCACCUCCAAACACCCAUUUUACUCUUCUAUUCGCCUGAAUCACCACCAGCAGCCGUUCCUCAAUCACCUUUCAAAACCCAUCGGAGAAACAACCAACUCACAACCCAUAACACUACCAACAAAAAACUGACCCGUCAAACCAGACCCAUUCCCACUUGAAGUAGCCACCAGUAAACAACAACCACGAAAAUCAGCAGACCCAACACCUCAUUAUUAAACCACCAUUUUUUCUCACAAGAACAGCCACCAAACAACCCAAAACUUGUUUGAAAACAACCAUCAUAUAAGAACCAUAAACAAGUUAUCAGUUAGAUUUCAGCUCCGGCGGAGACAAGCUAUGAGCUUUGAAAUCAGCGACAACAACCUCUGUGUCCGUCAAUGUCUGGUUAUCUUUUGAUCGAAGAAUGACUCUUUCCCACGCCUAUUUCUUGUCCCGGCCCUGUAGUGGAGCUUGCCCGCCAUAGGCCUAUUGAGAUCUUUCCCUGUGCGGGUAAAUUUGGGCUCAGGAGGGGAAUACCCGGUUGAUCGAAACUUCAACCAGAAGAGGUAGGCUCGAGUUUCUAGUAGGAGAAAUCUCUACUUCUGUUUUGUAGGCAUUUCCAUUUUAAAAGUUUGAAAUUUAGUUUAAAUUUAUAUAUUUGUAGUUGAUUAUUGGAUGAAGAAAUUACUGUCUAUUUCCUAGGCCUCCAUGUUAAUAAGACGGAUUUUAAUUUUUAAGUUAUUAUUUGAGUUAUUCAUUUUUAUUAAUAUUUAUUUAGCACUAACACUUUUAUUACGUGUCUUUAUAUGUAAAUGAAGUUGCUUUCCAUUGGA